RNAcentral lists this long non-coding RNA (1046 nucleotides) under Eucalyptus grandis. RNAcentral's name for it is "long non-coding RNA (EGRA_LNC003995)". Lineage: Eukaryota; Viridiplantae; Streptophyta; Magnoliopsida; Myrtales; Myrtaceae. The record is from RNAcentral.
GAUGGGACGCCGGUCCAGCCAAGGAGAACCGCUCGGCGCGCGAAGGGGACCGCCGGUCGAAGCUCCGUCGACCGGACCUCCUCGCCUAUAAAUAGAGGAGCACCUCCGUUGACGAACGGCAUCGCAAGCUUGGACAUCUUCCCACUGAGAGACUUCGGGGGAGGAAUCGAAGAGCGAGCGAGAGAGAACUCGAGUUGCGAGCUCGGCUGACCUCCCACUGAGAGACUUCGGGGGAGGCCGCCGGCGAGCGAGUCCGAGGAGGUCAGAUCUGGCCGGUGGAGGCUCAGAUCUGACCGGAGUGAGGGAGAUUGGCCGGAGGGAGAGGGUCGGUCAAGGUCUAGAUCUGGGUUCUCGCUGCUGCUACUGUUGACACCCCGACGCUGCGUCGAGCCGUGCCGCCGUCCCCACACCGUCGCCUCGAUCGAGUACCGACGUAGUCGCCUCGAAGGCUCGUUGCCGUCCCCCCUGCUAAGCCGUGACCGAUCCGCGAGAGGAGCCAGAGACAGGAGGACCAGAUCUAAGAAGUUGAAGACCCGCCGUCACGACCGUCGCUGCCCCGUCGCGUCUGUCGCUCUGGGCAGCCGCCUCCACCACCAACGACGCCGUCUCGUCGACCGACAACGCCGCCGCGCCAUACCUCUCCACAGACAGGUAUCACCCCCUCGCUUGGCCGUCGCCGUUUCCGCUCGAAACCCUCCUCGGCGCCCCGAGCCCCCGCGGGAUCCAGUCCUCGGUCGCGCUCUGUCCACCGUUCUUCUCUGCAUCUCCAUCCGUCGCCGCCGUCGUACCGCCGCACCACGUCCUCCUGCCGCUGCUGUCCUUUGUUCGUGUCGUUGCCGUCGCCGCCGCUGCCGCCGGGACGCCUCGUCCCCCUCCCUCGGCGCCGCGAAUCGGGAACCCUAGGGUUCCCGAUUUUCCGGGUUGUGGCCUCGGGUCAUCGGAUCGGACCCGGGCCACGAACCGGGUAGGGUUUUUGCGUUCUGAGGCCGGGCUGAAAUCGGGUCGGAAGUCGGGUCGGGUGCUGGAGCCGGGUCGGGUAGGGUUUC